Rhagoletis zephyria (snowberry fruit fly) is the source of this 1527-nucleotide long non-coding RNA. RefSeq lists it as uncharacterized. The record is from RefSeq and is a predicted model, not a curated record. Lineage: Eukaryota; Metazoa; Arthropoda; Insecta; Diptera; Tephritidae.
GCAACACCCAUUUAACAGAACUUUUAAGAGAUAGCCGUAAGUUACGUUAAGUUUUCAUAAUCAGACCAUAAGACUGACAUCACCGACGUCCAAGAAAUGCGAUAAACAGGCAAAGCGGGGAAAGGAGUGCUAUCCCGGUUUUGGAUUUGUGGUAGAGGAGAGAUUUCGUCGCCAAAAACUGAUGCAUCAAAGCAUACAGCAUACAAAUUUUGCAAUAAGUUUUUAGCGAUUUUGCUUAAGUGACUUUCUUGGGUUCCGGUUACUUAGAUCAUUCGUGUGGUCAAACGUUUCACGAUGCUUCAACGGAAAGACGUGAUACUCAAAGUCCUUUUUGUGCUCAACUUCAAAAAGCUGCAUUCACAGCAGACUGCCUAUUUAUUCGCAACUCGAUCCUUACACCUGCUCUCAGAGAGUAUACUUCAACAAACCGACAUGUAUAUAAGCAGUGGGGUCUCAUCUGCCGCCCACUACGUAACGCCUUCGAAGAAGUAGUUGGAUUUCAGCAAGCAACUGGUACGACAAGGUAUGUCACGCCGCUGCAGACAAAAAAAUAUGCCUUCUUCAGGGCCGCCCUGCCAUCGGGCAUAGCGCGAACCAUACGCAAUGGCUAAAGGGGCCUGAGGAGAGCGAUAUCCAUUUUCCGUAAUAAAAAAUUAAAAUGCUGGCUGAUGCUCAACGCGAAUUCCUAUAAGAACAAUGUGGACCUUGAUCGAUCAUAUACAUAGUAAGAUUCUAACUUAAAGAAAAGUACGAGGAUAUUUAAUUUGAAAAGUAUUUUAUUUUUUGAGAAAGCAAAGUAUUCUACUAAAUAAACCACAACAAAUAUGUGCAGAGUAUUUAAGUGUAUUGAAAUAUUUCGAAUGUUAAGCUUGUUUUUAUUUAUGUAAAAGUGUACGUACGCUACUCAAAUAAUAUCAAUUCGACACUAACAAUUGCAUUGAGUGUUUUUAGAUCUUUAAUCUAUAGUUUCUUACAGUAAUUUUUACUCGCUAGUUUAGUUUUUUCUUUUGUUUUUUGUAAAUGUGUGCGUGCCCAACAAAUUGCCGCGCCUUAUCUAAGCGAUAAUGUAAUUGCUUACAGCUACGAGAUUAUGUUAUUUAGUUUAAAAUUUAAUAGAAUAUUUAAACACAUCUCGUUUAAUGUACAAAACCCGUAUCAACAAAAUGCAAAACCGCGUACCAAGAUAAAUUAAAAUCGCGCAUGUGAGGUUGCAUAAAUUAUUUUCUAGAGUAAAAAUACUCAGUUUCAAAAUGGUUCUCUUUUUUAUAAAGCAAUCACAAUUCUGCCUAGUAUAUUUCAGGACGAAUGGAUAAGGCUUUAGCCAAGAGCUUGUGUGAGCAAAUCCAAUUUUUGGUAAAAAAUGUCAGUUACGCGGUUUUGUAGAACGACGAUACGCGGCUUUGUAUUUUAAACGACGAUAUGUUGAAAAUCUAGCAACCGAAUUCAUAAAAAGUAAAAUAGAUUUUAAGUGCAUUAUAGUUGGAAUAUUUGUAUGAACAUGCAAUUUUUUAAAGCUUUUCAGAACUA